UACGGGGGGAGCAAGCGUUGUUCGGAUUUACUGGGCGUAAAGGGCGCGUAGGCGGCCUCUGCAAGUCGACUGUGAAAUCUCCGGGCUUAACCCGGAAAGGUCAGCCGAUACUGCAGGGCUAGAGUGCAGAAGGGGCAACUGGAAUUCUCGGUGUAGCGGUGAAAUGCGUAGAUAUCGAGAGGAACACCUGCGGCGAAGGCGGGUUGCUGGGCUGACACUGACGCUGAAGUGCGAAAGCUAGGGGAGCAAACGGG
Molecule: ribosomal RNA, 254 nt
Filed under: uncultured bacterium
Lineage: Bacteria
Description: partial 16S ribosomal RNA
Rfam family: Bacterial small subunit ribosomal RNA
Source: RNAcentral